Long non-coding RNA from Cottoperca gobio, 3523 nucleotides. The record is from Ensembl. Lineage: Eukaryota; Metazoa; Chordata; Actinopteri; Perciformes; Bovichtidae.
UAGAAGGAGUCUUAAACCGUAGAAAGUGAAAGUAAAGGUGGGAGAAUGUCUGCGACACUGCACCAGAGCAGACGAUCAACGCCAUAGCAAGGUAGGAUCACUCUAUUUCUAUCUACUAAUAGUGUUACUAAUAUCACUAUUCUGGAUUUGUGUCUGUCAAAUGUAACGACUCCACCACCAGUUGGACUUUAAUGGCAGCGGCCACACAACGAGAAGUGUCUUAUUGAACAGGCUUCUGGAGUGAUUUGUAGGAGGUGUCUGAGGUCUGCAGAGUCGUAUGCUGGACAAGAGUGGACCAGAAUGAAUAAAAGCUCCUUCUUCCCUAGUGUGAGUUUGGAUGGUAACGGUGGCAGCAUGACAUCAUGGAUAUACGCGACUCACCUAUUUCUUUUCGUUUUCCUGAGCACGAUCGGCCUAUCAGAGGAGGGCUGUGAUGAAUAUUUUCAAAUGAAGGACUGGGGAGGAAAGCUGAAUGAAACGUUUGGCCUCGUGAGAACUAAGGAUUCCAAGUACACAAUGGAAUGUACUGCGGAGAAUGAGUGCCUGAACAACAGCAACUUAGGAUGUAAUUUGCUACAUCAAUGCUUUUUGCGGAAAGAUGAUUUAAAUAAUACGAAGAGUGAAAAGUGUAAAGGGGAAAUUUCUCACAAUGUCCAUUACUAUCACUUCAUGUGCUUGACGGCCCAAGCUAUCAACCGCACUUACGAAGGCUGCGAAUACGAAAACGAAUGCAAGACCUAUUCAGAAAUAGUAUCCACUGUUGUUGAUCAGACAAAAACAUUGCCCCCACCAACAACAACAACAACAACAACAACAACACUGCCUCCAACAACAACAUCAACAACAUUGCCACCAUCAACAACAUUGCCACCAACAACAACACUGCCUCCAACAACAACAACAAUAACAACAACAGUAUUGUCACCAUCAAUAGCAGCAUCGCCACCAACAGCAACAACAGCAACACUCGCACAGAGCGCAGUUAGCCGAAUAAAUGCCGAGACCUUAACCCUGAAGAUGUUAUUAGUGCUGUCUGUGGUCGUCAAUGUGAUCUCUCUGGCUGUUUACCUGUACAAGCGCCAAACGUGGAGACAGGAGAGGAUACAGUGGGCAGACACACCGCUGCCCUCUACAAAAGGGGAGGUAGAGACCACAUAUUUAAUGAAGCCUUUUGGGUGUAACUCCGUCCUCACAUAUUCAAUUGAUGAUGAUGAUAGGAAAAGUGUUGCUGUUGAAGAGGACAAGCAGCAUUAAAGACCCUACUCACCGUAGAUCUUAAUGAAACACAGCUGUGGGAUGUGACAAAUGCCAGUGAAGGGCAAUAGUUUGCAAAUACCUUGGGCCCCAGACUGAAAGUGAACAAGCUGCAACAUGCCUGCUGCUACAUGCCUGCUGCAACAUGCCUGCUGUCUCAGCCGCGGAAGGUAUUGCCCCAGCACUAAGUGUAAGGGAAUUGAAGUGCAGCAGGACUGUAUAGAGUCUAAUUGACUGAGCUACUUGUCUGGACUAAAUUUGAAGAAUUUGUACCCCUGUGACCAAACAGAAACACAUUGAGAUAUUCACAGGAGAGGGAGUUUGUUUUACCACAGACAAGAGAGAGGGCCAAAGGUUAAAACACCGCAAUGAAAUAUUUGCCGUCAAACCCAAUUCGUCUAAUGGGUAUUAUAAUCAAAAUAAAGAAACUAGUACAGGCCUUUUGUUAGAUAGACAGGUCAUGACAAUAUUAAUAAUAAUCUUUAUUUGUAUAUACAAGAAUUGCAGCCCAAAGUGCUUCACAGCAAAAACAUAACAAUUAGUACAAGAUUAGACAGAAUAAGAGCAUUUACUAUAUGAACUAUAACAAAGCUGAUAAGCCGAAUACUACUAAAGUUAUCGAAUGUUUGCUUCUGAGAAUAAAUACACAGGCAACACUGUUUUUACCAACCAGGACACGUAAUACCUGACCGACACAUAUAUUUCACAGUAUGUAGGGCCUUGUGAAUGUGCAUGCAGCUUUUGUGUUACCUAACUUCACUAUACAGUUUGAAUCUAGUAAUAACAUUACAGCUUUAAUGUCUCCAUUGAUAAAGUAUUUUUACUCACUCCUUCAAUCCAGUCCAACCGUCCAAAGCCGUUAGAGAAAUAAUGCAUGUGACGCAAACUGCACAUUUUGUGGGACGAUGGCUCAGUGAGCCUUUUGCAGCUUUUUGGUGUUUUAAAAUGUCGCCUGAUUUUCUUUAUGUAACAGUCAGACAGAGCAGCAGACAAAGUUCUCUGGGCAUUAGAAACAAAAAAAAGUUUAUUUAUUUGUUUGUUUUGUUGUUUUUUGUUUAGUUUGAUUGUGAUGAAGAUGAAGCUGAAAUGCUGGUCGUGCGCCAAAGAAAGAACAUUUGAAAUGCAUCUAUAUGUGAGCUGCCCAGAGAUUUAUAUUUAUUAUAAUAAAAUGUUAUAAUAACGCAGUCUGAUCCACAGCAUUUUGACCAAUCUUUCAUAAACUGUAAAAACAACCUGACGUUUAUGUGAAAAGUUAUUUAAAACGUAGUUAUUCUGGAUAGGUUCUCCCUCAGACGAGCUUCACAAAUAGAAGCUCUUUGUGUUUAAUGUCAAAUAAACUGUCCACUUAAACAUAUAUAUUCUUUGGACAUGUUACAAAUGGCUCUCAAACAAAUGCAUAUCUAAUACAAAUGAUUUAUGUCAUUUUCUUUUCUGCCAUCCAGAACAAAUGUCAAUAUCUUAUCAGUUGAUAACAUAGAAAUAUCAUUUCAUAAUCAUAACAUACCACCCAUCUGCCUCUCAUAAAUUUGGCAUUUAGCAAGUGUUGUGCUUUGCUUGUAUAUUUUUUAUUAAGUCAUCCAGUUUAUUUAUGGAGCUUUUAACAGACUGAAGAAGAUUGUCCCAGUGUGUCUGCAUGUGUGUAUGUAGGUGAGGUUUUAAUACACGCAGCCAGGAUGAAAGUACUUGUGCAUACAGCUUAGUGUUUAAUAAUAACAGACUGAAGUAUGAGAAAUGUGAGGAGGCGGAAAGAAUGUCACUGGUUGAGAUAAUUACUAAAUUACUUUUGUUUUUCACUCACUUCAGUUAAAGCUGGCCCGUUAGUUCGCUGAGGUUCAGCUCCUCGCUUGUAGUUGUUCCAUGAGACCAGCAGUAGUUGCAUUACAUUAAAGGUCUACAUUAAAAUAAAAAAUGUUCUACUGAUUAAAAGUUAACUCUCGAAAACAAAAGAUCGUUGAGUAUUCAUCAUUUUGGCAGCAUGUUUCAGAGAUAAAGUGGAGUGUGCUCAAUCCUGUUAUGAAAAGCAAACGAAACAUCUAAGUGAUGCCAGGUCUGUUUGUAUUAUUUAACUCCUUUGGUACUUUUUGCAUUGUAUGUUUGUAUUGUAAAAUGUAUUGUGAAAAUGGGAAGAAAUGUAUUCUUACUGACUGUACAAUGUGUUUUGUGUAUAAUUGUUAUGUGUUUAUAGCUGACCAAAGUUCUACACAUAACAGCUUUAAUAUGUGCAUACAUCAUGACAUACCUUAACAAAUAAAGUCAUAAUAAUCUGAUU